Long non-coding RNA from Homo sapiens (human), 3089 nucleotides. RefSeq lists it as uncharacterized. Lineage: Eukaryota; Metazoa; Chordata; Mammalia; Primates; Hominidae. The transcript has 2 exons. The record is from RefSeq and is a predicted model, not a curated record.
AAAGAUCACAAUGGGGCUUUUGAGAUAGCAGCUGUGGAAGUUACUUCUUAAGUUUCUGAGAAUCGCUGAGCAGCUUCUGUGGUCAGUCCAGGGUGUGUGCAGAAAUCCCACCCUGCAGGGGCUCCCAUCACAAACUGCUGGCCUUAGUGGUUGUCUGAAGGAAGUUUGAGACCUGAUGCCGUUGGGUCGCUGUGUGUCCUUCUGCCACUCACUUCAUUGUUCUCUUUCCACUUCAGGCAGGUGGUGAUAAUCCUUGGGUUCCAGCCCAAGCUGGGGCACUUCGCUCUCUCCCCUACAUGGUCCAUGAUCAAGGUUCCUGGGGACAGACUCCAGAUUUUCCUUUGGGGCCCAGCACCCGCUCUCCCAUCCCAGACUGCAGAUUUGGGAUAGGGCUGAUCUCACGCCCUAACUCUAGGGGUGGGCCUUGAUGCAGACCUGGCCGACAAGAUACCACUGUAAUUGGCUGGGGGAUGGGCCCAUCAGAGCCAGCAAGUGCCAGCUCUAAGACUUUGGCUGAAAGUUCUAUGCAAGAGGGAUUUUCUCUCUGGUGGGGUUGCUAAGCCACAGGAGGCAAGCCUUGAGCUUCCGGAGACUAUCUUGUCAUCACAGAGGGAGGGCCUGUCUGGAAAGAAGCCAGAACAUAGCCAAGACAUGGAGAGAGGCUGGUUUCUAAAUUGAGCACCUGAAUCCAGCCAUACCUGAAGCAGGAGUCAAUUAUAUGAGUCAAUGAAUUUCCAUUUGGUGUCAGCCAGUUUGCGCUGGGUUUCUGUCACUCCUGACUAUUCUAUUGCCUCCACUCAUACUCCUGUGCAACAUAACUGCUGCAUAAGAGCUGGAAUCAUCUUUCCACAACACAAAUUUGACCUUGUCACAACUGUUUAAAGCCGUGCGAGGCUCCCCAGUCCCCUCAGGAUAAAGCCUGAACUCCUUAGCCUGGUGUUCAAGCCCCAGAUCUGUCAAUGGCAGCCUCCUUUCCCACUUUGUCCAUCAAGGACAUUAUAUUUAGCUAUACACUCCCCUGUCACUACACCUUUGUGCCCUUCCUCAUGCUGUUCCCUCAGCUCAAAUGCCUGCCCCCAUUGAACUUCACCUUCCAUGCUCAGUUCCAAGGUAAUUUCCAAUGGAGCUGGGUUGGGUUUUGCACAUUGAAAUUACUUGCUCAUAGAACUACCAGGAGUGUGCAUUAUAAAUGCAGUUCCCCCCAACUACUGGGCUGGAUUCUCUGGGGUGGGGGCCAGGAAUGUUUUUUUUUUUUUUUUGAGACAGAGUCUCACUCUGUUGCCCAGGCUGGAGUGCAGUGGCAUGAUUUUGGCUCACUGCAAAAUCUGCAUCCUGGGUUCAAACGAUUCUCCCACCUCAGCCUCUCGAGUAGCUUUGAUUAUAGGUGCCCACCACCAGGCCCGGCUAAUUUUUGUAGUUUUAGCAGAGACAAGGUUUCACCAUGUUGGCCAAGCUGGUCUUGAACUCCUGACCUCAGGUUAUCCAUCUGCCUCAGCCUCCCAAAGUGCUGGGAUUACAGGUGUGAACAACUGUUCCCUGCCGAAUCUCUGAUUUUAAUAAGACCCCUGAGCAUCUUCCUGUCUCCCCCACUGCCCCAUGUGUUUUCCUCCUCUGAGCCUCAUUUGUCUGUAAAAUGGAUAUGAGAAAUCUACCUGGAAAGGCAGCUGGGGGGAUGAAGUGCGACAAUGUAUAUAAGCCUGUCGAGGGACACUUAAUCAGGGCUCCAGAGUGAUUAUGAUGGUCAUUAGGGUUAUGCUGUCUUGCAGGGCAACUCAUUGUCCCCAUUUGCCCAGGACAGAGGGGUUUCUUUGAAUGUGAGACUUUCAGUUUUGAAACUGGGAAAGGUCUCAGGUGAACCAGGAUGAGUUGGUUACCCUGCAUCCCCUUCUUUCUUUUCCCUGGGACAAAGAUCUUGCUUGCCUGCCCUGACCCCACUGUUCAGUAGGAAUCACUAAAUCUGGCACCACAACGGAAAGGCAGGGAACUCCAGGAACAAAAGGACCAACCAGUUUUGAAAAUACUAAGGACUGGCGUUUUCCUUCCAGCAGUGACGUGGUCUGUAUGUUAACCUUGUCCCACGGCACAGGUCACGUUGUGACACUCCACGACCUCUCAGCCCCACCCAUGUGCGUGGUGGGGCCAAGAAAGCCAUGUUGGCCACAGUCUGGCUUGUGUUUUCUCAGUUCUGGACACUCCAGACUAUACAUCUGAAUAUUCCUUUUGGUAGAGUCUAGGAGAUUUUAUUUAUUUAUUUUUUUUCUGCACUGAGUUCCUGGAUUUAUUUUGAGCCGAACGGCUCCUCACCCAAACUCCCCUGCCUCCUUUCAAAACCCAAGGCCACGUCCAACCUCACAGGCCCAAACCACGCUUACAUAACCCGCAGUGACACUAAGUGUUUGUGAGGCCUGCUGAAGUGGGGCUGGGGCUGCCUGCUCUGGAGCACAGGGGACAUUUUGUCCUGCAAAAUGAUGCUGUUUGGGGCGUGUGCGUGAGCGCGUGUUUUUCCCCUCCUGAAGUUCAAAAACAACUCCUUUUGCUCAAACUGUCAAAAAAGAGAAGAAGAAGAAAAAAAAGAAGAAGAAAGUCUGCAAUAAUUUCAGUGUUGGGCCCAGAUCAAGAAUUGCAAACACUAAGAUAAUAUUUUCCAAAGUUACCAGGCGAGUAGGAGUCGCCGAGUUACGGGAAAUUGGAGGCUGACCUGGUGUAACUUCCAGGGGCCCCGUCUCCUGGCUGCUUCCUCAACGGUGGUGGGCUUUUUCCUGUGAUCAUUACAGCUCACCGUGAUCUUGUCCUUACUACAUGCCAGGUUCCAGAGAGCUUUUCCUGACCACGCUGAGAGGGAGGUGUGACUACGGAAGAAUGGCUGGAGAGAGGCAACGCUGCUUGGCUUUGAAGAUGGAAGGAGAAAGCCAGGAGCUAAGGAAUGCAGUAACCUCCAGGAUCUGGAAGAGGCAAGAGGACAGGAGCUCCUCUAGAGUCUCUGGAAAGGAGCACAGCCCCAGCACCUCGAUUUUAGCCCAGUCUGACCCAUGGCUGCCUUCAGACCUCCGGAACUGUCAAUUCAUAAAUUGGUUUUGUUUUAAGCCUUA